CCCGGGUCUUGUACACACCGCCCGUCACACCAUGGGAGUGGGUUUCACCAGAAGUAGGCAGCCUAACCGUAAGGGGGGCGCUUACCACGGUGGGAUUCAUGACUGGGGUG
RNAcentral lists this ribosomal RNA (110 nucleotides) under uncultured bacterium. Its description in RNAcentral is "partial 16S ribosomal RNA". It matches the Rfam family "Bacterial small subunit ribosomal RNA", at positions 1373 to 1482 of the family's 1533-position model. The record is from RNAcentral.